RNAcentral lists this ribosomal RNA (237 nucleotides) under uncultured bacterium. Its description in RNAcentral is "partial 16S ribosomal RNA". It matches the Rfam family "Bacterial small subunit ribosomal RNA", at positions 524 to 761 of the family's 1533-position model. The record is from RNAcentral.
UACGUAGGGUGCGAGCGUUAAUCGGAAUACUGGGCGUAAAGCGUGCGCAGGCGGUUGUGCAAGACAGAUGUGAAAUCCCCGGGCUUAACCUGGGAACUGCAUUUGUGACUGCAUCGCUGGAGUACGGUAGAGGGGGGAUGGAAUUCCGCGUGUAGCAGUGAAAUGCGUAGAUAUGCGGAGGAACACCGAUGGCGAAGGCAAUCCCCUGGACCUGUACUGACGCUCAUGCACGAAGCG